AUCUAUGGCCAUACCAUGCUGAACGCACCAAAUCUUGUCUGAUCUCAGAAGCUAAGCAGGGUCAGGCCUGUUAGUACUUGGAUGGGAGACCUCCUGGGAAUACUGUGUAUUAUUGGCA
Ribosomal RNA from Mesocricetus auratus (golden hamster), 118 nucleotides. The record is from Ensembl. NCBI's taxonomy places the organism in Eukaryota, Metazoa, Chordata, Mammalia, Rodentia, Cricetidae.